UACGUAGGUGGCAAGCGUUGUCCGGAAUUACUGGGCGUAAAGCGUGCGCAGGCGGUUAUGUAAGACAGUUGUGAAAUCCCCGGGCUCAACCUGGGAACUGCAUCUGUGACUGCAUAGCUAGAAUACGGUAGAGGGGGAUGGAAUUCCGCGUGUAGCAGUGAAAUGCGUAGAUAUGCGGAGGAACACCGGUGGCGAAGGCGGCAUCCUGGACCAACACUGACACUGAGGAGCGAAAGCCAGGGGAGCAAACGGG
RNAcentral lists this ribosomal RNA (253 nucleotides) under uncultured bacterium. RNAcentral's name for it is "partial 16S ribosomal RNA". It matches the Rfam family "Bacterial small subunit ribosomal RNA", at positions 524 to 776 of the family's 1533-position model. The record is from RNAcentral.